UACGAAGGGGGCUAGCGUUGCUCGGAAUCACUGGGCGUAAAGCGCGCGUAGGCGGAUCGUUAAGUCGGGGGUGAAAUCCUGGAGCUCAACUCCAGAACUGCCUUUGAUACUGGCGAUCUUGAGUCCGGGAGAGGUGAGUGGAACUCCGAGUGUAGAGGUGAAAUUCGUAGAUAUUCGCAAGAACACCAGUGGCGAAGGCGGCUCACUGGCCCGAUACUGACGCUGAGGCACGAAAGCGUGGGGAGCAAACAGG
RNAcentral lists this ribosomal RNA (253 nucleotides) under uncultured bacterium. Its description in RNAcentral is "partial 16S ribosomal RNA". It matches the Rfam family "Bacterial small subunit ribosomal RNA", at positions 524 to 776 of the family's 1533-position model. The record is from RNAcentral.